GACGAACCACACAAACGUUAUUCGGAAUUACUGGGCUUAAAGGGUGCGUAGGCUGCGCAGAAAGUUGGGUGUGAAAUGCCUCGGCUCAACCGAGGAACUGCGCCCAAAACUACUGUGCUUGAGGGAGAUAGAGGUGAGCGGAACUUAGGGUGGAGCGGUGAAAUGCGUUGAUAUCCUAAGGAACACCCGUGGCGAAAGCGGCUCACUGGAUCUCUUCUGACGCUGAGGCACGAAAGCUAGGGUAGCGAACGGG
RNAcentral lists this ribosomal RNA (253 nucleotides) under uncultured bacterium. Its description in RNAcentral is "partial 16S ribosomal RNA". It matches the Rfam family "Bacterial small subunit ribosomal RNA", at positions 524 to 776 of the family's 1533-position model. The record is from RNAcentral.